Molecule: non-coding RNA, 1545 nt
Organism: Salmo salar (Atlantic salmon)
Lineage: Eukaryota; Metazoa; Chordata; Actinopteri; Salmoniformes; Salmonidae
Source: RefSeq, a predicted model, not a curated record
GCUAGCUGCGUAGAACCAUGUCGUCGCAUUCAGUGCAUACAGUGCAGUACAGCACUUCCUUUGUCAUGCAGUUAUUUAUGACAAAUAUGGACAUGUGUCAGUUUGUCACUUUCAUGGUCAUGUAGUGAAGAUCUAUUCAGCUACUGCAGAAACUGUCUUGAAGAUAGCUAAUGUUUUGCGAUUUAGAGAAAACGUGCCAACAAGGGACGACGAGUUUGUCACUUUCCCCAUUGACAAGCAGUUUGCCCAAAUCCUGCCCUGCUCUGCUAAACAUCAUGUAAACGGCCGUCACAGAACGUUCCUGUCAGAAACCCUGCCUGUUUUAACGUCAUUUACCGUAGAUAUACAGAUGAAAGACCGCCCUCCUCACAAGCGGUGGUAUUAUUAAAGCAGGGUGUGCCGUUGAAACAGUCUGAUUUGAGAACAGGGGCUAGAUAAGCAAGUAGAUACUCUGUGUGCCCAGCAUCAUUUUAACAGCUUGUUUUGCUCUUUGAUUCUGUUCACAAUGGCACAGGUCAACAGAUGUCUGAAACAGCUGUUCUUUGGAUUCAACAUGUUGUCAGGGAUUGCAGGGUGUGUCCUAUUGGUUUUGGCAGUGAUCGCAGCACCAUAUAAUACAGAGCAUGACCAAGGAGAGUCAAUUGGCUUGACAUGGAUUAUAUCGACUGCAGUUGUUUCUGUGCUGCUCUCUUUACUUGGAGCAUAUGGUGCAUACAAAGAGAACAUUGUGAUACUGCGAGUGUUCCUUGGAAUAAUAGGCUUUGGAACAAUCUUCUUUCUUAUUGUUGGAUUUCAAAUGGCUCGUUCAAUGCCUGAGGCCAUGCAACUGAUUAAAGAAAACCUCCCUGCAAUUACAUCAGAAAUGAUGGCUGAUGCGAGCACCGACAAACUAUCAUGGCUCUACAAGUACAAGGUAAGUGUUGUGGAAUAAUGAGUUACAGAGACUGGGAUAGCAAGAUUCCAGAGACCUGUAAAUGUUCUAGUUUCAAGUCAGACCCGUCCCAAUGUAUGGAGGUGCAAACGACUAAAGAUGGCGGCAACUGGGGAAGAUCUGACAAAUCUGAAAUGAUGUGGAUCUACAGAGAGCCCUGUGGUCCUCUCAUCUUGAAGAACUUCGACUCUGCUUUUAAGACCGGACUUGGAUUCUUCUUGGGAUUUGGUGUUUAUUCUUUGAUUGGGCUAGUGUUAUCCGGCAUGAUGAUUCGUCAGAUCAAGAAGGUGCAGUCUACUGAAGUUCCUGAGACUAUAGACGAUGGAUAUCGUUUCACACCUUAAUUCCAGGCAAUUCGCCAUGUGGAGGGAGUUGUGGGAGUUGUGGGAGUUUAACCGACGACCUUACACCCAUAACCAGGGAUGAGGUCAGAGUUUCAGUUUUGGCAUCCUGGCAAGAGGCGAGGAGUAGAAGGUGCUCGAACAACGUGAGACGAGGUGCAACCAAAAAAAAGAAUAUGAGCGUUCGGAAUGAAAAGGCCCAACUCACUGCUCACCGUUCAUUUCAUUUGUGUAUAACCUUUUCUUUUUUAUCAUAAUAAAGUUUCGUCUGUC